RNAcentral lists this transfer RNA (77 nucleotides) under Gemmatimonadota bacterium. Its description in RNAcentral is "Gemmatimonadetes bacterium tRNA-Ala". It matches the Rfam family "tRNA". From Rfam's summary of the family: Transfer RNA (tRNA) molecules are approximately 80 nucleotides in length. Their secondary structure includes four short double-helical elements and three loops (D, anti-codon, and T loops). Further hydrogen bonds mediate the characteristic L-shaped molecular structure. tRNAs have two regions of fundamental functional importance: the anti-codon, which is responsible for specific mRNA codon recognition, and the 3' end, to which the tRNAs corresponding amino acid is attached (by aminoacyl-tRNA synthetases). tRNAs cope with the degeneracy of the genetic code in two manners: having more than one tRNA (with a specific anti-codon) for a particular amino acid; and 'wobble' base-pairing, i.e. permitting non-standard base-pairing at the 3rd anti-codon position. The record is from RNAcentral. RNAcentral also lists the same sequence under 1 other name. Lineage: Bacteria; Pseudomonadati; Gemmatimonadota.
GGGGGCGUAGUUCAGCCCGGUAGAACACCUGCUUUGCAAGCAGACCGUCGGGGGUUCAAAUCCCCCCGCCUCCACCA